This 253-nucleotide ribosomal RNA is filed under the name uncultured bacterium. RNAcentral describes it as "partial 16S ribosomal RNA". It matches the Rfam family "Bacterial small subunit ribosomal RNA", at positions 524 to 776 of the family's 1533-position model. The record is from RNAcentral.
UACGGGGGGGGCAAGCGUUGUUCGGAAUUACUGGGCGUAAAGGGCUCGUAGGUGGCCAACUAAGUCAUACGUGAAAUCCCUCGGCUUAACCGGGGAACUGCGUCUGAUACUGGAUGGCUUGAGGUUGGGAGAGGGAUGCGGAAUUCCAGGUGUAGCGGUGAAAUGCGUAGAUAUCAGGAAGAACACCCGUGGCGAAGGCGGCUCUCUGGGACGGUACUGAUGCUGAGACGCGAAAGCGUGGGGAGCGAACAGG